Long non-coding RNA from Ornithodoros turicata, 441 nucleotides. RefSeq lists it as uncharacterized. The record is from RefSeq and is a predicted model, not a curated record. NCBI's taxonomy places the organism in Eukaryota, Metazoa, Arthropoda, Arachnida, Ixodida, Argasidae. The transcript has 3 exons.
CCGUUGAAACUCCAAACUUUCUGGACGCGCAACGGGUAGCAGUUGGGUCUUGGCGGCUGCAUUCGACUGGUUGUUAUACGAAAAUCUUUCGAAGUUCUAAUCUCCCGCGCGUUUUGUCUUGCAAUUUUUUAGCAUAGCGAGAACGUACGCCGUGCUGUCCAAUGAUAAAAACUGUUGAACGCAGCAGAGCUCCCAGAGUACUGUGGUGGACAGCGUUUCUUUGUUCUCUGGCUUUCAAGUUUAAGGGGUGCUUGGACUAUCUUGCAUCGGUGGAUAUGAAAAUAGUGGUAACCUACCCUACGAAACAUCUAUUUGCACAUAAGCUUAACAGUUCCCUGUGAGUCAGCAGGGAAGUGCGGUGUAGAAGAAACGACUGCCAGAAGCUUGCUAAGGAACCGCACAACAUGUGUGGGCAGCAGACAAAAUAUUCAUCAAACGGUA